Molecule: long non-coding RNA, 1206 nt
Organism: Heterocephalus glaber (naked mole-rat)
Lineage: Eukaryota; Metazoa; Chordata; Mammalia; Rodentia; Bathyergidae
Source: Ensembl
CUGAGAUUAGGUUGUUUCCCAGGGAUGUACUAAUGCAAGGUGGGAAGCAGGUGAAUCUUGUGUUACUUUGAUUGCUGUGCCCGUGUUUGGAUGACUAAAGGCAAGAAGAGCCAGACACUAGGGGCAGGGAGAAUGAAAUAGUGGGCCUAGGUUCUCCACAAGUGGUGCGUGGGUGUAGAUAUCAGAGGGGUGCGCUUGCUCCCCGAGGUGGUGCUGAGCAGAAGACAGGUGGUGAGGGCCUGCUGGUUAGGUCGGAUAGAUCUGGCACCUGGAACAAGGACACAGGACUGGCCACAGCGACAGGCAUCCAGAGCUGCUGCUAGCCCCCGAGUAGCUUCCUGGUUUGUAGGCACAGGAGGUGCCCACUCAUUCCGGAAGGCCCUCAGUCUGCACACCUGGGGGAUGGCAAAUGUCCAAGUCAAGUCAUAUCCCUGAAAGUAUUAGGGAGGGAAACAAACCACACCACUGAGUUCUGCACUGGAGGGGAAAGCCACACGAAGCGACCAGUCAGCCUGGAUCUUGGCUCUCAGACUCGACUCCCUCAGUGACCCAUAUGAAACACGUCUCAUUCCUCACCGCGUAGAGCAGUGGAGCCAACGCCACGCCCUUACAGUUCACGCUCCCGCUUGCUUCUUAGCAGAUGGGGUCUGAUUAUCAAAUUGUUCCUCCUAAGCCCACUCGUACCAAUGGCACUUCAGACAAUAACUAGCGAGUGUUGUCAACACUCCAUCGUCAGAGCUACCGCUGGCAAGAAGCAUUUGGGCCAAGACUGAGAAUGACACGUGUCUACAUUUCCAGCUUUGCAAUCAACGUGGAAAUGAGUCGACUUAUAGACGUGGAGUGAUCUUACAGAAAGGACUCCAGCUGCAGAUGAAAUACCAAGCCCAGGGUGAUAAACAGAGCAGAGGCAUUCAGCAUUUUCCUCUCAGCUGUUGCAGACUGAGGGCCUUGGCCGUGGGGCGGGCUUGGCAGGAGCUGCUGAGUUAUUUCUGGAGACCUUCAAGGUCUGUGGUCCCCGAGAGGAAUGUGAGCCGCAGGGACCGAUGGGAAGUCACAUGACAAGGUAGAAGAGGGAAGGGGUAGGUAUAGUUUGACCAGCACAAAGCUGCUGUUUUUGCCUUUUCUGCAUCAUUCAAUAAAAAGAUUUAUUCACUCAUUUAUGUAAAAAUGUAUUUGGGCAUAUAUUAAACACUCACUGAACAACCA